UACGUAGGGUGCGAGCGUUGUCCGGAAUUAUUGGGCGUAAAGAGCUCGUAGGCGGUGUGUCACGUCGGCCGUGAAAACCUGCAGCUUAACUGUGGGCGUGCGGUCGAUACGGGCAUCACUGGAGUUCGGCAGGGGAGACUGGAAUUCCUGGUGUAGCGGUGAAAUGCGCAGAUAUCAGGAGGAACACCCGGUGGCGAAGGCGGCAUCCUGGACCGGUAUUGACGC
Molecule: ribosomal RNA, 225 nt
Filed under: uncultured bacterium
Lineage: Bacteria
Description: partial 16S ribosomal RNA
Rfam family: Bacterial small subunit ribosomal RNA
Source: RNAcentral